AUUGAACGCUGGCGGCAUGCCUUACACAUGCAAGUCGAACGGUAACAGGUCUUCGGAUGCUGACGAGUGGCGAACGGGUGAGUAAUACAUCGGAACGUGCCCGAUCGUGGGGGAUAACGGAGCGAAAGCUUUGCUAAUACCGCAUACGAUCUACGGAUGAAAGCAGGGGACCGCAAGGCCUUGCGCGGACGGAGCGGCCGAUGGCAGAUUAGGUAGUUGGUGGGAUAAAAGCUUACCAAGCCGACGAUAUGUAGCUGGUCUGAGAGGACGACCAGCCACACUGGGACUGAGACACGGCCCAGACUCCUACGGGAGGCAGCAGUGGGGAAUUUUGGACAAUGGGCGAAAGCCUGAUCCAGCCAUGCCGCGUGCAGGAUGAAGGCCUUCGGGUUGUAAACUGCUUUUGUACGGAACGAAAAGACUCUUUCUAAUAAAGAGGGUCCAUGACGGUACCGUAAGAAUAAGCACCGGCUAACUACGUG
This 482-nucleotide ribosomal RNA is filed under the name uncultured bacterium. Its description in RNAcentral is "partial 16S ribosomal RNA". It matches the Rfam family "Bacterial small subunit ribosomal RNA", at positions 30 to 507 of the family's 1533-position model. The record is from RNAcentral.